GAGCGUUUGCGUAGUGAUGCUUGGCAAGUAGAAGAAAAUGAGUAAUUAAAUGACCUCCUGUUUCCCAUUGUCCAUGUCUAGUGACAUGAUACAUCCUGGGGCAGGGACAGAGCGCAGCCAGUUUCUGGGGAGUGUGGCACUAAAAGGGUUUGAAGAAUUACAGUGGCAAUUAGUUUGGCGGUGAUUAGUCUAUAAGAGAGUUCAGCAGUUGGCUUCUGCCCAGUCGUCUUUGCUGCUGUGAAGGUAGUGCUGCAUUGUGUCCCCUCGGGAAAGCUGCCUCUGCUGCUGUUAAUUGCAUCAUCCAGCAGCAGUGCAGUGAAAUUCAGAGCUUCUGGCCCAUUUCGUAGCUGCAGCUGGCUGCACCCUGUGCUGAGCUGAGCUUGUCUGUGUCAGCGUUGUCCUGUUUUCCCCAUCCGCUCUUGCUCAGAACUCCUUCCCCCAUGCCUCUGAGGGGUUUUGAUUGUGCCUGUGGUUAUCUGUCUCUGCUUCUGGGGUGGUGCAAUGGGGCAGGGAGAAAGGAGGCUGUAGGUGGGGGGGCAUUUAGGGGAGGAAUCUUGUGAUGAUAGUACGCACCCAGGUCUGCACGUGCAGGUAGCCAGCGUCAUGCCGCUGCUGGGGGAGCCUGUGCUCUGAGCCACCCUGCUAGAAAUGUGUGUUCAGUACCUGUGCCACAGUGCUACGAUGCUCUUUUGCUCUAUGCCGUGCUCGCAAAUACUGCCCAGCCUCUGGCCCCAUGCAGGAGCGUAUGAAUGCUGGCAGCUCUGCUUCCCCAGUGCUUCCUCAGGGCAUGCACAGUGUUAUGGGAGGCAAGGGUACUGCAAGGCCUCUGUGUGGCAUGGAAAUAGGAAAGAGCUUAUAGGCCACUGAUGGGAGCCUCAGAAGAUGAUGUUGUUAAUUGCUAUGUGACCAGAAGUCAGCAGGGGACAGAACAAGCUCCUCUGGGGGGGUACAGGGCAACCUCAUCUGUAACCCAUGACCUGUUUCUGCUCUCAAACCAUGCAGUCUUGAGUUUGGUUUUGUACUUUUGUUUUUAGUUCUCCUUGAAUAAAAGUUUUUUCGUUUUGU
RNAcentral lists this long non-coding RNA (1065 nucleotides) under Strigops habroptila (Kakapo). RNAcentral's name for it is "lncRNA (ENSSHBG00005020835.1)". The record is from RNAcentral. Lineage: Eukaryota; Metazoa; Chordata; Aves; Psittaciformes; Psittacidae.